RNAcentral lists this ribosomal RNA (1265 nucleotides) under marine metagenome. RNAcentral's name for it is "bacterial LSU rRNA". It matches the Rfam family "Bacterial large subunit ribosomal RNA", at positions 1664 to 2925 of the family's 2925-position model. The record is from RNAcentral.
UGGGCAGGUAGAGAAUACUAAGGUGUAUGAGAUAACCAUGGUUAAGGAACUCGGCAAAUUGCAUCCGUAACUUCGGGAUAAGGAUGACCUCAUGGGUUUAUAGCCUAAUGAGGUGGCACAAACUAGGGGGGAGCGACUGUUUACUAAAAACACAGCAGGGUGCUAAGUCGUAAGACGAUGUAUACCCUGUGACGCCUGCCCGGUGCUGGAAGGUUACGGGGACCGGUUAGCUGUAAAGCGAAGCUGUGAACCUAAGCCCCAGUAAACGGCGGCCGUAACUAUAACGGUCCUAAGGUAGCGAAAUUCCUUGUCGGGUAAGUUCCGACCUGCACGAAUGGCGUAACGACUCCCCUACUGUCUCAACCAUGGACUCAGCGAAAUUGAAGUACGAGUAAAGAUGCUCGUUAGCUACAGAAGGACGGAAAGACCCCGUGGACCUUUACUAUAGCUUGAUAUUGGUGUUUGAUUUGCGUUGUGUAGGAUAGGUGGGAGACUAGGAAGUCGGAGCGCUAGCUUCGGUGGAGUCAACCUUGAAAUACCACCCUGCGUACGUUGACCAUCUAACCUUGGACCGUGAUCCGGUUCGGGGACAGUGUCAGGUGGGUAGUUUGACUGGGGCGGUCGCCUCCUAAAGAGUAACGGAGGCGUUCAAAGGUUCCCUCAGACUGGUUGGCAAUCAGUCUUCGAGUGCAAUGGCAUAAGGGAGCUUGACUGCGAGACCUACAAGUCGAGCAGGUACGAAAGUAGGACAUAGUGAUCCGGCGGUUGCGUGUGGAAGCGCCGUCGCUCAACGGAUAAAAGGUACCCCGGGGAUAACAGGCUAAUCUUUCCCAAGAGUCCAUAUCGACGGAAAGGUUUGGCACCUCGAUGUCGGCUCAUCGCAUCCUGGGGCUGAAGCAGGUCCCAAGGGUUGGGCUGUUCGCCCAUUAAAGCGGUACGCGAGCUGGGUUUAGAACGUCGUGAGACAGUUCGGUCCCUAUCCUCUGUAGCCGGAAGAGAUUUGAGGAAAGCUGCCCCUAGUACGAGAGGACCGGGGUGGACGAAGCUCUCGUGUGCCAGUUGUCCUGCCAAGGGCAUGGCUGGUUGGCGACCUUCGGACGGGAUAACCGCUGAAAGCAUCUAAGUGGGAAGCCCAUUCCAAGAUGAGAUCUCUCACUGGGUUAACCAGGUAAGGCCCGUGGAAGAACACCACGUUGAUAGGCCGGAAGUGUACGCACGGUAACGUGUUUAGCUGACCGGUACUAAUCGGCCGAGGGCUUGAUUAA